UUGUACAGUGAGAAAUACGAUUAAAACAUGAAGGAAAGUGGAACGUGAUAAGAUAUUAAAGACUGGAUUUGGAGAACUCCUAAGAUUAACAGCAAGAAACAUAAGGCUUCUCGAAGACUUCGGUGACCUCGAAAUGCAUCGGCAGUAAGGAUCUCCUCUGAUGGUGGCCCGAGUGAAACGUUUGUCGGCGUUUCGAUUUGAAUUUGGACGGUCUUGAACUGGGACGAUGGUACGAGCUGCGCCGCGACAACGACACGACCAUACCCUCUGCAACAGAAUUUCAGUCAUCGCCUGAGCAGAAUCGUCGCAAAGUGCAGGAGGCCGUGGAUAAAAAGGACCGACAUUAUUUUUUCACGUAUUGCGCAACGCCCGAGGUGUGUACGUGUCAGAAGGACUCUGCGGCGGCGGCGAGGGCUCAAGAUCGUGACGUUGCGUGUGCGACGGGCACCGGUGACAGAGAAAUAAUUAACAAGC
Long non-coding RNA from Ceratina calcarata, 474 nucleotides. RefSeq lists it as uncharacterized. The transcript is spliced from 3 exons. The record is from RefSeq and is a predicted model, not a curated record. NCBI's taxonomy places the organism in Eukaryota, Metazoa, Arthropoda, Insecta, Hymenoptera, Apidae.